RNAcentral lists this ribosomal RNA (279 nucleotides) under uncultured bacterium. RNAcentral describes it as "partial 16S ribosomal RNA". It matches the Rfam family "Bacterial small subunit ribosomal RNA", at positions 506 to 784 of the family's 1533-position model. The record is from RNAcentral.
UGCCAGCCGCCGCGGUAAUACAGAGGUCUCAAGCGUUGUUCGGAUUUACUGGGCGUAAAGCGUGCGUAGGCGGCGAGGUAAGUCAGAUGUGAAAGCUCAGGGCUCAACCCUGAAAUUGCAUCCGAUACUGCCUUGCUAGAGUAAUGGAGGGGAGUCUGGAAUUCACGGUGUAGCAGUGAAAUGCGUAGAUAUCGUGAGGAACACUAGUGGCGAAGGCGAGACUCUGGACAUUUACUGACGCUCAGGCACGAAGGCUAGGGUAGCGAAGCGGAUUAGAUA